Molecule: ribosomal RNA, 375 nt
Filed under: uncultured Thermus sp.
Lineage: Bacteria; Thermotogati; Deinococcota; Deinococci; Thermales; Thermaceae
Description: bacterial SSU rRNA
Rfam family: Bacterial small subunit ribosomal RNA
Source: RNAcentral
UGGGUGCCCGCGAGGGGAGCCCUAGCACAGGUGCUGCAUGGCCGUCGUCAGCUCGUGCCGUGAGGUGUUGGGUUAAGUCCCCGCAACGAGCGCAACCCCCGCCGUUAGUUGCCAGCGGUUCGGCCGGGCACUCUAACGGGACUGCCCGCGAAAGCGGGAGGAAGGAGGGGACGACGUCUGGUCAGCAUGGCCCUUACGGCCUGGGCGACACACGUGCUACAAUGCCCACUACAAAGCGAUGCCACCCGGCAACGGGGAGCUAAUCGCAAAAAGGUGGGCCCAGUUCGGAUUGGGGUCUGCAACCCGACCCCAUGAAGCCGGAAUCGCUAGUAAUCGCGGAUCAGCCAUGCCGCGGUGAAUACGUUCCCGGGCCUU